GAUAAACGCUGGCGGCGCACAUAAGACAUGCAAGUCGAACGGAAGUCGUUAUAAAAAGGAUUGAAGAUUUAUCUAAUUGAGAUUUUAUAACAAUGGCUUUAGUGGCGGACUGGUGAGUAACGCGUGAGUAACCUGCCUCACACUGGGGGAUAACAGUUAGAAAUGACUGCUAAUACCGCAUAAGACCACAGCACCGCAUGGUGCAGGGGCAAAAACUCCGGUGGUAUGAGAUGGACCCGCGUCUGAUUAGGUAGUUGGUGGGGUAACGGCCUACCAAGCCGACGAUCAGUAGCCGACCUGAGAGGGUGACCGGCCACAUUGGGACUGAGACACGGCCCAA
RNAcentral lists this ribosomal RNA (340 nucleotides) under uncultured bacterium. RNAcentral's name for it is "bacterial SSU rRNA". It matches the Rfam family "Bacterial small subunit ribosomal RNA", at positions 28 to 334 of the family's 1533-position model. The record is from RNAcentral.